RNAcentral lists this ribosomal RNA (253 nucleotides) under uncultured bacterium. RNAcentral's name for it is "partial 16S ribosomal RNA". It matches the Rfam family "Bacterial small subunit ribosomal RNA", at positions 524 to 776 of the family's 1533-position model. The record is from RNAcentral.
UACGAGGGGGGCAAGCGUUGUUCGGAAUUAUUGGGCGUAAAGGGUGCGUAGGCGGUUUUGUAAGUCUUGUGUGAAAUCUUCAGGCUCAACUUGAAGACUGCACGAGAAACUGCAGGGCUUGAGUGUGGGAGAGGUGAGUGGAAUUCCUGGUGUAGCGGUGAAAUGCGCAGAUAUCGGGAAGAACACCCGUGGCGAAGGCGGCUCUCUGGGACGGUACUGACGCUGAGACGCGAAAGCGUGGGGAGCGAACAGG